Molecule: long non-coding RNA, 655 nt
Organism: Panicum virgatum (switchgrass)
Lineage: Eukaryota; Viridiplantae; Streptophyta; Magnoliopsida; Poales; Poaceae
Exons: 5
Source: RefSeq, a predicted model, not a curated record
GAUGGGCAGAAUCAAGGGUUGUCGAGCUCGAUAAUCUGCUACCAAUUUCGGAUUUUAAUAGCUCAAUCCCACUUGAUGUGUAUACCAGUGCACGCCAAUCUUUCAUGGUUUCUGUUGCUGUCCUUUUCCUGUGAGGAAUGAUGAGCUAUUCACCAAUCAUCUAAAGUUUAGACAGUUCGAGAAGAUAGGAGAGUCCAUUUCAAACAUUGGAGCAGUUCCUUAGACGAGCUUCUGCACUUCAGGUUCAAAAUGUUAGGAAUCAACAAAAGUUAAAAUAUGUGACUCUAGGUACUUCAGAAUGAGUUCAGAGCGCACAAUGAAGGUGGCUGAACAACUUUAUCAAGCAGGAUUCAUUAGUUAUCCAAGGACAGAAACUGAUAACUUCUCUCCAAACACUGAUCUUCAUGAAAUUGUACGUGAACAAGUACGAGCAUCCAGUAUGGGGAGCAUAUGCUCACCGGUUUCUAAUUCCUGAAGAAAGACUUUGGAGAAAUCCCAGCAAUGGUGGUCAUGAUGACAAGACACAUCCGCCUAUUCAUCCAACCAAAUUUUUUAAGAGGCAAAAAUAACUGGAGCCCAGACCACAAUAAAUUAUAUGAGUUCGCCUUGUUUGCCAUUUCCUUGCAUGUUGCUCUCAACCAGCUGUUGAAAUUGA